UAUGUUUUAAGGUAUGUGCAGGGCAGUCCUGCGUCGAAUGGUAUUUUUUAGUAGUCGUUUACUUAAAACCAAAUGUGUUCGCUCUGCCCCGUAUUCAAAUGUAACAACCUUACUUUAAAAGACUCCUACUUUUUAGAAAAUUAUUACAGCCUAUGCAACCUAUUGCAUUGCGUAGCAUAAGUUUUUGCUCAUAUUAAUAAUGUACAUGUAAUAUCCUUUUUCUAAAGUGUGUGCUGUUCCUUCCAUUAUUGUCCAUAUGUUGCAAUUUAAAUUAAAUUUCUAAUAAAAAAAAAGGUCACAAAUAAUAAAGCCCCUAAUAUUUUCCAUACAGUCUGACCAGUGUUCUCGAAACGGUGGUGUUUUAAAACUAUUGUCCUACAGCAACACUGAUCAAGCUCGCCUUGUUGUUUUUUGUCACCGUCACCAACACACGCGCGGAAACUAUUGCUCAGCAUUUCAAUUUUUGUUUCUGCCAGGGAAAUUACAAUUUUCAGCCCGAUCAACUGCAGGCAUUAUCAAAAUAAAUAUAUAUAAAUUGAGCCCAAACGAAUCCAUCUGUCUUUCUGCACUUUUUGUUGGAUUUUUGGCAUUGGUGGUCCAGAAUAAGUUGCGUUUUGUUUCCGUGGAUGCAGCGAAGGACUAAUUUGGAUAAUAGAAAAAGAAAAAAGUGCAUCUGUCUACCUAGAAUUUAUGUUUGUACUUUAUAAAGCUGGAUUUAGAAUUUUGUAACUUGCUAAAUAAAGAAACAAAAAACAUGUAAACAACAUGGGAAGCCAUCACAUCACUUAGGUAAACAAACACUUUUUGUUGAAAAUAGCCUUGGCAACAUCUUAAUUUAUUUUCAUAACGUUUACCAUUAAAUAAUCUUAAUUACUGUUUAAUCGAGAAUAACGUAUCACUGUCAAAUAUAAGUAUAGUAUUAUAAGACGAAUCAAAUUGUGAUCAAUAUUAAAAUAUUAGUUUGUCAAAAAA
Drosophila eugracilis is the source of this 972-nucleotide long non-coding RNA. RefSeq lists it as uncharacterized. Lineage: Eukaryota; Metazoa; Arthropoda; Insecta; Diptera; Drosophilidae. The transcript has 2 exons. The record is from RefSeq and is a predicted model, not a curated record.